This 253-nucleotide ribosomal RNA is filed under the name uncultured bacterium. RNAcentral's name for it is "partial 16S ribosomal RNA". It matches the Rfam family "Bacterial small subunit ribosomal RNA", at positions 524 to 776 of the family's 1533-position model. The record is from RNAcentral.
GACAGAGGUGCCGAGCGUUAGGCGGAAUCACUGGGCUUAAAGCGUGUGUAGGCGGACUUCUAAGUACCUUGUGAAAUCCCACGGCUCAACCGUGGAACUGCUUGGUAUACUGGUCGUCUUGAGCCAUCUAGGGGCUGUCGGAACAAAUGGUGGAGCGGUGAAAUGCGUAGAUAUCGUUUGGAACGCCAAUGGUGAAAACAGGUCGCUGGGGAUGAGCUGACGCUGAGACACGAAAGCCAGGGGAGCAAACGGG